GACGAACGCUGGCGGCGUGCCUAAUACAUGCAAGUCGAGCGGACUGAUUAAGAGCUUGCUCUUAUGACGUUAGCGGCGGACGGGUGAGUAACACGUGGACAACCUGCCCUGUAGAUCGGGAUAACACCGAGAAAUCGGUUCUAAUACCGGGUAAUAUCUGAGAUCACAUUAUCUUAGGUUAAAAGAUGGCUCCGGCUAUCACUACAGGAUGGGCCCGCGGCGCAUUAGCUAGUUGGUAAGGUAAUGGCUUACCAAGGCGACGAUGCGUAGCCGCCCUGAGAGGGUGACCGGCCACACUGGGACAGAGACACGGCCCAGACACCUGCGGGAGGCAGCAGUAUGGAGUCUUCCGCAAUGGACGGAAGUCUGACGGAGCAACGCCGCGUGAGUGAUGAAGGGUUUCGGCUCGUAAAGCUCUGUUGUUAGGGAAGAAACAGUACCGAACGAACUAGGUCGGUACCUUGACGGUACCUAAACAGAAAGCCACGGCUAACUACGUG
RNAcentral lists this ribosomal RNA (500 nucleotides) under uncultured bacterium. RNAcentral's name for it is "partial 16S ribosomal RNA". It matches the Rfam family "Bacterial small subunit ribosomal RNA", at positions 28 to 507 of the family's 1533-position model. The record is from RNAcentral.